This 534-nucleotide ribosomal RNA is filed under the name uncultured bacterium. RNAcentral's name for it is "bacterial SSU rRNA". It matches the Rfam family "Bacterial small subunit ribosomal RNA", at positions 777 to 1314 of the family's 1533-position model. The record is from RNAcentral.
AAUAGAUACCCCGGUAGUCCACGCCGUAAACGAUGAAUACUAGGUGUGGGGGUUGUCAUGACCUCCGUGCCGCCGCUAACGCAUUAAGUAUUCCGCCUGGGGAGUACGGUCGCAAGAUUAAAACUCAAAGGAAUUGACGGGGGCCCGCACAAGCAGCGGAGCAUGUGGUUUAAUUCGAAGCAACGCGAAGAACCUUACCUAGACUUGACAUCUCCUGAAUUACUCUGUAAUGGAGGAAGCCCUUCGGGGCAGGAAGACAGGUGGUGCAUGGUUGUCGUCAGCUCGUGUCGUGAGAUGUUGGGUUAAGUCCCGCAACGAGCGCAACCCUUAUUGUUAGUUGCUACCAUUUAGUUGAGCACUCUAGCGAGACUGCCCGGGUUAACCGGGAGGAAGGUGGGGAUGACGUCAAAUCAUCAUGCCCCUUAUGUCUAGGGCUACACACGUGCUACAAUGGCUGGUACAGAGAGAUGCAAUACCGCGAGGUGGAGCCAAACUUCAAAACCAGUCUCAGUUCGGAUUGUAGGCUGAAACUCG